RNAcentral lists this ribosomal RNA (468 nucleotides) under uncultured bacterium. RNAcentral describes it as "partial 16S ribosomal RNA". It matches the Rfam family "Bacterial small subunit ribosomal RNA", at positions 28 to 507 of the family's 1533-position model. The record is from RNAcentral.
GACGAACGCUGGCGGCGUGCUUAACACAUGCAAGUCGAACGGAAAGGCCCUGCUUUUGUGGGGUGCUCGAGUGGCGAACGGGUGAGUAACACGUGAGUAACCUGCCCUUGACUUUGGGAUAACUUCAGGAAACUGGGGCUAAUACCGGAUAGGAGCUCCUGCUGCAUGGUGGGGGUUGGAAAGUUUCGGCGGUUGGGGAUGGACUCGCGGCUUAUCAGCUUGUUGGUGGGGUAGUGGCUUACCAAGGCUUUGACGGGUAGCCGGCCUGAGAGGGUGACCGGCCACAUUGGGACUGAGAUACGGCGCAGACUGCUACGGGAGGCAGCAGUGGGGAAUAUUGCACAAUGGGCGGAAGCCUGAUGCAGCAACGCCGCGUGCGGGAUGACGGCCUUCGGGUUGUAAACCGCUUUCGCCUGUGACGAAGCGUGAGUGACGGUAAUGGGUAAAGAAGCACCGGCUAACUACGUG